Molecule: long non-coding RNA, 1847 nt
Organism: Hipposideros armiger (great roundleaf bat)
Lineage: Eukaryota; Metazoa; Chordata; Mammalia; Chiroptera; Hipposideridae
Exons: 2
Source: RefSeq, a predicted model, not a curated record
GUCAUAGAGUAGUAUUUAUUACACCCGAAUGUUAUUGCAUACAUUUUUGGGAAAAAUAUCUAAGGCCUUUGAGUUCCUUAAAUUCUAAUUGUCUCCUAUAUUAAAGUAUACUCAUUAUCUUAUUUUUUUGUCUGGACAAGAACUGAAAAAGAGAAAAAACUUGAAUUCGGAAUGAACAAUUCUUGCUAUAUGUAUUUCCCAUGUAUAUAAGGAAGGUUCUGUAGCUUUCCAAGAAAUACUGACUUGAACUAAAUACUGAACUACUAGCAAACUCUUGUGCAUAUUUGAAUGUUUUUAGUCAUUGGGAGCCAAUGGCAUUUCUUUUCUCUGUAUCACAAACUGUUAUGAAUAUUUCUUUUUACUAUUAACGUUGGACAAGACCUCCUGUUUUGUGACUGACUGGCAGGCAGAAAUAACAGGGACAGGAAAUGGGAAAUGGUUCAGGGACUUGGAAUUCCCCAAAUGCCUAAUUAAGUGGCUUGUUACUUGGAAGUUUUUGGAAUGUUUGCCCACUGGAGUUCCCCUGAGAAAAAGCAUCUGAUUUCAUUGACAGAGUAUCUUCACAGAACAUAAAUUAAGAAAUUCGCUCCUGCAAUACAACUUUUACUGCAUGUCACUGCUUUCUUGGCACUAGUGGAUGGGGAUAGGGAUAGGGGGGUGGGGGAGGGAGACAAAAUGUAACACCAAGAGUUCUUAUUUGCAAUUUUCUAUCAGUUAACUAAACUAUUUAAAACGUCACUGAUAAAUCGGCUCCUUUGUGGUUCACGUACGAUUUAAUGUAUACACACAUAUAUAAAUGUAUACUGUUUAUUUUAGUCCCAUUCAGAAAAAAUAGGGAGUGAAGACUGUCUGAAAUACCAUUCACGUCGCUAGCGAUGAGCUUUUGAAAUUAAGGACACUUUUUCGUUAGUGCAUAUGUCUCCAGAACAGAAAAACAAAGUUAAAAAAACAAGUUUAAAAAUCAAAGACAUACUGGUUGAUUAGAAAAGACCUAUUUAUAAUAUAAUCCCCAAGAGAUUAUAAAAUCAACAUUUCAAAGUUAAUCUGAUGCUGUUCUUACACUUUGCUUUUUUCCAUUUCCACCACCAGCUGUGAAUAUUUAUGUUAGGCAGCUGCGCUCCGAGGAAAAACGGUUACAACUGUUUUAAACGGUUACAAUUGUUUACUUAGUUGAAGCAAAAACGGUACUAGGUUGAGUCCAUCCUGAAAUGCAGUCAUCUAGGACCACGGGAAGCGUCACACUAGAGGAAUGUGGCCAGGAGUGGGAUCAAAUAACUGAGGUGACGCGAAGAAGAGGCGCAAAACCACCCGCGCACGGGUGUUUCCCCAGGGUUCCCCAAGAUUCAAACUCUUCGGCUCACGGUUUGCCACGUUCCCCUCGGGAGAAUGUUAGGGACAGAGAGAGAGAAGGAAGGGUCAAAAGUACUCAAACCGCGAGAUUUAAAAUGGAAAACGCCUCGCUGAUUGAAGCCGCCUGGUCCCGUCCCGCGGGCUGACCAACUGCCUGCCUCUCAAAGCGCGGCGGGUCCUUCCUCCGACCGUAGGCUCCGCGGCGCCCUCGAGUGGCGGCGACGCAGCCCCCGGAUAGGCGUGAUGACGUCACCAUGCGUCGGCGGCGUCCCUGCCAGCGCUGGGGGCUUCGGGAUAGCUGAUCCGGAGCCGGCUGGGCUACAUCUUUCGUCCGCGCCGUUGCUGUCGGGUGUGAGGAAGCCGCCUUGCAGCCGCGCCGUUUCCGUGUGAGCUGCGCCUGCUCCGAGAUUUAUAACCCCGAAGAGACUACUUUUUUCCUCUCAUUUUUUUCUGCUGCAGUAAUAAAUCCCAUUAUGGAGACCUAGAAAUUUUAUAAA